AUGUUAUGAUUUGGGCACAAGCAUAAUAAAAUUUUAAACCUUUCUCAUGCGUCAUACAAUGAUUUAGUUUUCUGCUGCUCAAAGUUUGUGAUUUUAGCUCUUCGUUC
Molecule: small nucleolar RNA, 107 nt
Organism: Lathyrus oleraceus (garden pea)
Lineage: Eukaryota; Viridiplantae; Streptophyta; Magnoliopsida; Fabales; Fabaceae
Source: RefSeq, a predicted model, not a curated record